RNAcentral lists this long non-coding RNA (919 nucleotides) under Monodelphis domestica (gray short-tailed opossum). Its description in RNAcentral is "lncRNA (ENSMODG00000050372.1)". The record is from RNAcentral. Lineage: Eukaryota; Metazoa; Chordata; Mammalia; Didelphimorphia; Didelphidae.
CUGACAUACACCCUCUUCCCCAAAAGGAGGGGCAGAACAAACAUUUAUGCAGCACCUACCCUGUUCUAGGCACUAAAUUUAUAGCUUUACAAAUAUUAUCUCAUUUGAUCCUAACAACAACUCUGGGAAGGAGGUACUAUUAUUAUCACCCCCAUUUUACAGUUGAGGAAAUUGAGGCCAUUUCAAUUGAUGUGACUUGCCCAGGGUCACACAGCUAGUAAAUAUCUGAGGCUUGAUUUGAACUCGGGUUCCUUCCUGACUCUAGGUAAAACACUCUUUCCACUGGGAGUUAUCCUGAUUAUUACCCUGAAAUGAACAAAAGACCAUCCUGAAGCUCUUCUUGGCUGCAUUGAGAAGAAAGAAGUCUUGAAUGAAGAAAUGAGAGUGGCUGGAGAGAACUUCCAGGAUGAAGAGGUUUCUGGAGCCUGACUGAGUAAGCAUUCAGCCAUUAUCUCCUCUUAGCAUCACUGUCCCCCUGGCUGGAGCACACAAGUGCAACCUUAAAGGUGUUCAUCAAACAAGAGAUCCCCUGCACAUGUGUUGAAUCAUAGAAGACGAGAUAAGACCCAGAACUAUGUGGAUGGCUUUUGAAUGGCUUGCUGAAUAUCACCAUCAAAAGAAACAUAAAACAGAGAAAAUGAUUGAGUGGAGGCAACUACUAUCAGGACAGAAUAGAGAAUCUUUCAGAUUCAAGAAGGCGUGAAGCUCCCUGAGAGGGUAUUAAAAAAAAAAAAGAACAGUGGAUGCUGGGGACUAUGAUUCCAGGUCAAGACUCCUAAUAUGCAAGAACCAGUACUAUUUGGUCAUCAACUAGGUAAUCUCCUAGUUCCCAUGGUUUUUGUUCUUUGUGUUCCACUGACCCUUUAGUAUUUUCUCAGCGUCAUAGGAGAUGCUCAAAAUUAGGUAAUGUGCAUAGGUC